Non-coding RNA from Pelobates cultripes (western spadefoot toad), 223 nucleotides. NCBI's taxonomy places the organism in Eukaryota, Metazoa, Chordata, Amphibia, Anura, Pelobatidae. The record is from the annotation of a GenBank genome assembly.
CACACACACAUACAGACACAUACAUACAGAGACAUACACACACAUAAAGACACAUACAUACAGAGACACACACACAUAUAUACACACACAUACACAACAUAUUUUAGUCACCCUCCUGUUUCCUACCUUUUAGGUGCAGGUGGGUGACAUUCCCUGGGGUCCAGUGGUGGCUCAGGCUGGUGGGAGUCAGAGUUCCCACUCUGACUCCCUCCUCCUUCCUCCC